This 494-nucleotide ribosomal RNA is filed under the name uncultured bacterium. RNAcentral's name for it is "partial 16S ribosomal RNA". It matches the Rfam family "Bacterial small subunit ribosomal RNA", at positions 29 to 507 of the family's 1533-position model. The record is from RNAcentral.
ACGCACGCUGGCGGCGUGCCUAAUACAUGCAAGUAGCACGCUGAAGGAGGAGCUUGCUUCUCUGGAUGAGUUGCGAACGGGUGAGUAACGCGUAGGUAACCUGCCUGGUAGCGGGGGAUAACUAUUGGAAACGAUAGCUAAUACCGCAUAAUAGUAGAUGUUGCAUGACAUUUGCUUAAAAGGUGCAAUUGCAUCACUACCAGAUGGACCUGCGUUGUAUUAGCUAGUUGGUGGGGUAACGGCUCACCAAGGCGACGAUACAUAGCCGACCUGAGAGGGUGAUCGGCCACACUGGGACUGAGACACGGCCCAGACUCCUACGGGAGGCAGCAGUAGGGAAUCUUCGGCAAUGGACGGAAGUCUGACCGAGCAACGCCGCGUGAGUGAAGAAGGUUUUCGGAUCGUAAAGCUCUGUUGUAAGAGAAGAACGAGUGUGAGAGUGGAAAGUUCACACUGUGACGGUAUCUUACCAGAAAGGGACGGCUAACUACGUG